Molecule: ribosomal RNA, 569 nt
Filed under: uncultured Alphaproteobacteria bacterium
Lineage: Bacteria; Pseudomonadati; Pseudomonadota; Alphaproteobacteria
Description: bacterial SSU rRNA
Rfam family: Bacterial small subunit ribosomal RNA
Source: RNAcentral
GGAGCAUGUGGGUUUAUUCGAAGCAACGCGCAGAACCUUACCAGCUUUUGACAUGUCCUGGACGGUUACCAGAGAUGGGUUCCUCUCUUCGGAGCCAGGAACACAGGUGCUGCAUGGCUGUCGUCAGCUCGUGUCGUGAGAUGUUGGGUUAAGUCCCGCAACGAGCGCAACCCCACGUCCUUAGUUGCCAUCAUUCAGUUGGGCACUCUAGGGAGACUGCCGGUGAUAAGCCGAGAGGAAGGUGUGGAUGACGUCAAGUCCUCAUGGCCCUUACAGGCUGGGCUACACACGUGCUACAAUGGCGGUGACAAUGGGAUGCAAAAGGGCGACCUCUAGCAAAUCUCAAAAAUCCGUCUCAGUUCGGAUUGUUCUCUGCAACUCGAGAGCAUGAAGGUGGAAUCGCUAGUAAUCGCAGAUCAGAACGCUGCGGUGAAUACGUUCCCGGGCCUUGUACACACCGCCCGUCACACCAUGGGAGUUGGCUUUACCCGAAGGCGUUUCGCUAACCGCAAGGAGGCAGACGACCACGGUAGGGUCAGCGACUGGGGUGAAGUCGUAACAAGGUAACC